RNAcentral lists this ribosomal RNA (415 nucleotides) under uncultured bacterium. RNAcentral's name for it is "bacterial SSU rRNA". It matches the Rfam family "Bacterial small subunit ribosomal RNA", at positions 977 to 1392 of the family's 1533-position model. The record is from RNAcentral.
AAGCUUGAAUCCUUUUGACCGAUGCCUAAUCGCAUUUUUCCCUUCGGGGACAGAAGUGACAGGUGGUGCAUGGUUGUCGUCAGCUCGUGUCGUGAGAUGUUGGGUUAAAUCCCGCAACGAGCGCAACCCUUGCCUUUAGUUGCCAGCAUUAAGUUGGGCACUCUAGAGGGACUGCCAGGGAUAACCUGGAGGAAGGUGGGGAUGACGUCAAAUCAUCAUGCCCCUUAUGCUUAGGGCUACACACGUGCUACAAUGGGUGGUACAGAGGGCAGCCAAGUCGUGAGGCCGAGCUAAUCCCUUAAAGCCAUUCUCAGUUCGGAUUGUAGGCUGAAACUCGCCUACAUGAAGCUGGAGUUACUAGUAAUCGCAGAUCAAAAUGCUGCGGUGAAUGCGUUCCCGGGUCUUGUACACACCG